Molecule: ribosomal RNA, 253 nt
Filed under: uncultured bacterium
Lineage: Bacteria
Description: partial 16S ribosomal RNA
Rfam family: Bacterial small subunit ribosomal RNA
Source: RNAcentral
UACGUAGGGGGCAAGCGUUGUCCGGAUUUAUUGGGCGUAAAGAGCGUGUAGGCGGCCAAGCAGGUCCGCUGUGAAAACUCGAGGCUCAACCUCGAGACGUCGGUGGAAACCGUUUGGCUAGAGUCCGGAAGAGGAGAGUGGAAUUCCCGGUGUAGCGGUGAAAUGCGCAGAUAUCGGGAGGAACACCGGUGGCGAAGGCGGUUCUCUGGGCCUGUACUGACGCUGAGGAGCGAAAGCGUGGGGAGCGAACAGG